CGUAUCUGUGUAAUAUACUGUUUAUAAAUCCUGCACAUGCGUAGAUCUAUUUUAUUCCUUGCAAACAUGGCGGAAAUGAGUCCUGGGAAAUAUAAAAUAUCUAGAUAAAACUCAAACAUGGAGCACAAGGCGCAGCUUAAGAACGUAAAAUACAGAAACUGGGUGAGGGCAGGUCUUGGGAUAAAAUACGUAAAAGAAGGUUUGGAACCAUUUUGCGACCAUCUUGUUAACCAGCAGCAUAUUGCUAUCUUAGAUAAAGUUAAACGGAAACACAAUCUUUCGGCAGUGACAUGCGGACUUUGCGACGUACGCACUCUCCAACCUGAUCAUGUCCAAACCAAAACUAGGCAAUGUCCUCUUGGUCAAACAUACUGUAAUUGCCUACAUCCACGCGGGAAAAUAUCAUGUGCAAACAAAGUAUGUGGCGCCAUCUACGAUGAAAUAAUUCAACUCCAUGCUUCAACCCCGCCAGCUCCAAACUGGAAAAAUACGGACGCACAACAAUGGUGCACUGAACCAUGGGCUGUCGCAAAAUGUUUUAUAAAUGCUCCAGGAUACGAGGCAAAUAAAAGUAGAGCGGUAGAAUUUGACUGUCCUGGCUUGUUGCAUGUGCUGAUUAACAACAUAGAAUUCCAACAACAUAUCAAGUGUGUGAUAACUGGUACAGAUGUUUUCUCAAGGGUACGCAAGUCUAGAAACGAUAUAUUUCACUCUCACAGUAUGGAAUUAGAAGACACGGAGGUUAACAAUUAUAUAGAUGAUAUGAUAGAACUUUUGGAAGAUGAACAUGAAAUUAAACACAGACAAGAAUCUAAAGAUGCCGUUAAAAACCUAAUAGAGCUAAAGCGGGAAGAUUUCAUUACAACAACUACAGACGAGGCCGAAAUCCGCCGUGUUGCCAUGGCUGCAAUCAACGAGAAGGAAAGAGAACUUCAACAAACGAUACUUGUUGCUGGAAAUGAAUUUAGAACUGCAGCUGCUGAAGGAAAACGCAAGCUUGAGGGGAAAGGUUUAGUUAUUAAAUCUGAACUCCAACAGAAAAGAAGGAAACUCAGAAAGGAAUUGGUAAUGACAAAUGAUGAAGUAAGAACUACAGCUACCGAGGGCAAACGCAUGCUUGAGAAGGAAGGUCAAGCUAUUAAAGCUAACCUCCAGCAGACAGCAGAAAAAAUUGAACAGAAAAGAAUUGGGAUCGAAAAGCAGCUGACGACAAAAACAGUAGAAGCAGAACAAAAUAUAGAGCUCAAACUUCAAGAAUGAAAGUUGGAGUUAGAGCGUGUAAAGAACUUGACUGAAGAUCUGAUAGCGGGUAAAUCCCAGACUAGACAAGAAGCUGAGAAUAGCAAGGCCAAAACAGACUUUCAGGAGAAGUUGGUCAAACGAUAUGAAAAGUACGUCAGAAUGGUAUCCACGGUACCCCUAAAACCGCAAAGAAAACAAGAGAAUGUGAGUGAUGUAUAUGUUCCUCCCUGGAUGACUGUAGAAAUAAAGAAUGAAAAAUCUAAAGAAUGGAAAGAGGUUACGAUUUCAAUGCACGAAAUAUUCAAAAAUAGCGAAAAGCCCGCAAAAUAUAUUUACGUAAUCGGAGACGCUGGCACGGGGAAAAGCAUGUUUUGUAAAAUGCUUGUGCAUUUCUGGUGUAUCGCUCAUUCGCAUCAAGAAAUCAAUUUAGACAAAUCAGACAUUAUGAUAGUAAAAGAAAUGCAAAGCUUUAAAUUCUUAUUUUAUGUUUUACUGCGAUACUCUUCCGAUUGUGACAGUAUAGAAAAAAUGUUAGAGAAAUCAUAUCAUGAUCCUGCGCUUGGACAUAUUUUACAAAAUGAAUCAGGUAAAUGUCUUAUUGUACUUGAUGGUCUCGAUGAAUGGAUACCAGAAUGUAAACAUGAUUCGCAAUUUCUGACCCCAGGACUUCCAGGACGCGAGCUCGAUGCUGAUUAUACCAUUAUAACAACUUCAAGACAAUGGAAAUUUGAUACCUUGCAAAUAAGUGAUACUGAGGUAGAUAAAAGAAUCAAACUACGCGGAAUAGAUACAUAUCAAAUGACAGUUUUCAACAAAGCAAAAAUGCAGAGAAAUGUAAAACUGAUCUUCAAACCAGACGCGUUUCCGAUAUCAGCCACAUACCAUUAAUCUUGCAACAGUUAAUUUGUCUAUGGUUUGACGAUAAACUCCGAGAAAAUUCGAAGUAUGCUAUAUACAGUAAUAUGUUAGCGCUCUUUUUUGAAUGGAAUGCGCUGAAGACGACUUCAAGAAAUCAAGAAUGCGAGAGAGCUACACAAGCACGUAUGGACGUUUCACUUUUGCCUGACUACUUAUGUGAUAUCAAGGCCCUCCGAGAAAACAUCCGUGUUAUACAGUAUCUUUCACUGUUAGCGUACGAAACCCUUUUUGACAAAAACAAAGAAAUCAAACUGACGUUCAGUAACUCAGCAUUAGAACGCCUGAACAUACCAAAUAACGUAAUAAAGUAUUGUCUGAACAUAGGCAUCUUAACAGAAGAGCAAGACGUAAGUUUACCUGCAAGUUCAAGUCAACAAUCAUUAUUUUCAUUUUUUCACAAGUCAUUGCAAGAAUACUUAGCCGCAGUGUAUGUCGCUAGUAGGCUAAAAGAAAUGUUGAAGUCGCUGAAAUUAUUUCCGAACUAUGACGAUGAUCUUGCAGACGUUUGCAAAACGUGCUUAAGGAAAUACUUUGGCACUUGCAAAACGGUUGUUGAUAUCUUAGAUCAGUCAAACGUGUUAAUUAUGCUUUGUGGAUUAGAACCACAGCUGCUGACAAAUGUUAGUGAGUACAUUUAUGACGUAACACUUGUUGACAAAUCGGCUGUUCAGGAAAGAAAUACAGUACCGCAGGAUAGCUUUUCUUCAAAUCAUCAUAAUUUGAUAAAAGAUAUUCAAAUGUGCAUAUUUAUGUGUAUUGAAGAAGCUAUGUCAAGUGCAAAAAAUGUUCACACACCUGUGUAUAUUGCCGAUAUUUACGUUUCGCAUUCAACAGAUUUGCUAAGGUAUUGUGAGUAUGUUGUUUCGAAGUAUGUUCUAUCGAUAGAUUUAGAUAGGUUUUGGUGCUUCAUGAAAAAAACUGAUAACGAAACAGUUUACCUUGCCGUGAAACAUCUUGGAAAAUGUGAUCAAUUGAAGGCAAUAAAAUCCAGCAUUAGUGAUGACAGGAUUAAUAAUGAAAUCACAAAAAUACUUGAUACAAAUGUUUUCACGCUUGAAACUGUCAGUUUCUUAGAAACAGACAAGAAAAUCAUAACACAUCUUGUUUCGAUAUUACCGAAAAUGCAACAAUUAACUUCGCUUCAGAUGAAAGGGACUAUUUCCGACCGUAUUCCACAUGAUGUUUGUUCGUCGUUGUGUACAUACCUGAAUCAGAAUACAAGUCUUAAUCAUAUAGCGUUUAAUAUUUAUAGUGAGAAAUUCUGUAUGGUCAGUUGUAACAUUGACAAUCUAGAAACGUGUACGCUUAGUAUUGAAAACGUUGACAUGAUGAAACAAAUGUGUAACUGUCUAUGUGAAGCAGAUAAAUUAAAACAUCUUGAGCUGUAUGCCGGUUUUUUUAUGAGGUCUUAUAAAACUGUUACUAAAAAUCUUACCAGACUGCUGCCGUCAUUAGUCAGUCUCAGUUCUCUAACGUUAUGGGACUUUUCUUUUACUGACAAUAUUAUAGCACGUCCGUGUGAUAUAAAGAAUCUGAAAGAAAUAACACUUCAAGAAGUAACACUGAGUCUGCCCACGUGGUGCAAGUUUAUAGACAGUCUUCCUGCACUGCCACAAGUAGCAACGGUAGAAACAUUUGACAUGGAUAUUAGAGAUGGGACAAUACUUGAAAUUAGAAUUUGUGAUAUUGAACAGAAAGCAGCUGCACGCCAGUAUGUUAGAGAGAAAACAAAUUUAUUCCGCGUGACACGUGAUGAUACCUUUGGUUUUUGUUUUACUACAAAGAAAGUGCGACUCUGAAUAUGUAUUUAUCAUAACGCAAAUUACGAUCACUUGAGUUGGCAUAAAUGUUGACAGUGUUUCAUGAAAAUAACGUGCAACAGAACUGUUUUAUAUCAAGCUUACAUUACAGCAUGUGUCGUAUGUCUUUUAAACAGACCUUUUUUUAAGAAAAAUGCAAAAAGUAUUUAUAUUUCUGAAUAGCUGUAAUAAAACGAAAAAUACAUCGUACUUCAGAUGUUUCUAGUCUAUAUGUAUAAUUUUAUUUAUUUAACACACUGAAUCUACCUUAUAGACAUGUUUAUCACAUGUUUGACGUCGCGGGA
RNA transcript from Mercenaria mercenaria, 4264 nucleotides. RefSeq lists it as uncharacterized. The record is from RefSeq and is a predicted model, not a curated record. NCBI's taxonomy places the organism in Eukaryota, Metazoa, Mollusca, Bivalvia, Venerida, Veneridae. The transcript has 6 exons.